UCUUGGUCAUUUAGAGGAGUAAAAGUCGUAACAAGGUUUCCGUAGGWGAACCUGCGGAAGGAUCAUUCAAGUGAGGCUACCGAACGUUGGAAACAGCGGUUAGGAGCUUGCACCCACCGUGUUUACAUACUAUUGUUGCUUUGGCGGGCCGUGGCCUCCACUGCGGCUCUGCUCGUGUGUGCCCGCCAGAGAACCAAACUCUGAAUGUUAGUGAGUCUGAGUACUAUCUAAUAGUUAAAACUUUCAACAACGGAUCUCUUGGUCUGGCAUCGAUGAAGAACGCAGCGAAAUGCGAUAAGUAAUGUGAAUUGCGAAUUCAGUGAAUCAUCGAAUCUUUGAACGCACAUUGCGCCCUGUGGUAUCCGCAGGGCAUGCCUGUUCGAGCGUCAUUUAACCACUCACGCCUAGCGGGUAUUGGCGCACGCGGUCUCCGCGGCCCUCWAAAUUAGUGGCGGCGCCGUGGGCUCUAAGCGUAGUACAUACUCCCGCUAUAGAGUUCCCCCGGUGGUCGCCAGAACCCCCAAUUUUUACAGGUUGACCUCGGAUCAGGUAGGGAUCCCGCUGAACUUAAGCAUAUCAAUAAGCGGAGGA
This 591-nucleotide ribosomal RNA is filed under the name uncultured fungus. RNAcentral describes it as "eukaryotic LSU rRNA". The stretch from base 239 to 389 matches the Rfam family "5.8S ribosomal RNA". The record is from RNAcentral. Lineage: Eukaryota; Fungi.